UACAGAGGGUGCGAGCGUUAAUCGGAAUGACUGGGCGUAAAGGGCGCGUAGGUGGAUGCGUGUGUUGGAUGUGAAAGCCCCGGGCUUAACCUGGGAAUGGCAUACAAAACUGCGUAUCUAGAGUGGAGCAGAGGUGAGUGGAAUUUCCGGAGUAGCGGUGAAAUGCGUAGAUACCGGAAGGAACACCAGUGGCGAAGGCGACUCACUGGGCUCGAACUGACACUGAGGCGCGAAAGCGUGGGGAGCAAACAGG
This 253-nucleotide ribosomal RNA is filed under the name uncultured bacterium. Its description in RNAcentral is "partial 16S ribosomal RNA". It matches the Rfam family "Bacterial small subunit ribosomal RNA", at positions 524 to 776 of the family's 1533-position model. The record is from RNAcentral.